Molecule: unclassified non-coding RNA, 318 nt
Filed under: fungal sp.
Lineage: Eukaryota; Fungi
Description: partial internal transcribed spacer region
Rfam family: Eukaryotic small subunit ribosomal RNA (bases 1-44)
Source: RNAcentral
GUCGUAACAAGGUUUCCGUAGGUGAACCUGCGGAAGGAUCAUUACCAUAAUACCAAAACCAAAAAAAAACAAACUACGAAGAGGAAACGUGACGUUCGUGUAUACGUCGUUGCGUCAGUACUCUUUGUAUGUCUCGUGAUACUUAACAACUAUCAUAUUUUAUCCAUUAUGCUUCUUUCACGACGUAGACGUAACAGUCUGAAGUAAUCGAAGAUACCAAAUGUAACUAGAGAACUAGUGACGAAAUCUGUCAGUCAUGACAUGAUUAUCUAAUAAUCAAUGACCAAACAGUUUCAGCAACGAAUGUCUAGGUUCCUA